AACGAACGCUGGCGGCAGGCCUAACACAUGCAAGUCGAGCGCCCUCUUCGGAGGGAGCGGCGGACGGGUUAGUAACGCGUGGGAACGUGCCUCUCUCUUGGGAAUAGCCAUUGGAAACGAUGAUUAAUGCCCGAUACGCCCUUUGGGGGAAAGAUUUAUCGGAGAGAGAUCGGCCCGCGUUAGAUUAGUUAGUUGGUGGGGUAACGGCUUACCAAGACGACGAUCUAUAGCUGGUUUGAGAGGAUGAUCAGCAACACUGGGACUGAGACACGGCCCAGACUCCUACGGGAGGCAGCAGUGGGGAAUCUUAGACAAGGGGGCAACCCUGAUCCAGCCAUGCCGCGUGAGUGAUGAAGGCCUUAGGGUCGUAAAGCUCUUUCGCCUGUGAAGAUAAUGACGGUAGCAAAAAACCCCCGGUAACUCCGUGCCAGCAGCCG
This 437-nucleotide ribosomal RNA is filed under the name uncultured bacterium. RNAcentral's name for it is "bacterial SSU rRNA". It matches the Rfam family "Bacterial small subunit ribosomal RNA", at positions 29 to 517 of the family's 1533-position model. The record is from RNAcentral.